Molecule: small RNA, 28 nt
Filed under: Bombyx mori (domestic silkworm)
Lineage: Eukaryota; Metazoa; Arthropoda; Insecta; Lepidoptera; Bombycidae
Description: ovarian small RNA-2409
Source: RNAcentral
UUGCUUACUUUAGCGGCCGCGGAAGCUC